Molecule: ribosomal RNA, 371 nt
Filed under: uncultured Acholeplasma sp.
Lineage: Bacteria; Bacillati; Mycoplasmatota; Mollicutes; Acholeplasmatales; Acholeplasmataceae
Description: bacterial SSU rRNA
Rfam family: Bacterial small subunit ribosomal RNA
Source: RNAcentral
UGGAGACAUAGCGGAGUAUUCGGGAGACAGGUGGUGCAUGGUUGUCGUCAGCUCGUGUCGUGAGAUGUUGGGUUAAGUCCCGCAACCGAGCGCAACCCCUAUUGCUAGUUACCAUCAUUAAGUUGGGACUCUAGCGAGACUGCCAGUGAUAAACUGGAGGAAGUGGGGAUGACGUCAAAAUCAUCAUGCCCCUUAUGACCUGGGCUACAAACGUGAUACAAUGGCUGGAACAAAGGGAGGCGAAGGGGUGACCUGGAGCGAAACUCAAAAAACAGUCUCAGUUCGGAUUGAAGUCUGCAACUCGACUUCAUGAAGUCGGAAUCGCUAGUAAUCGCGGAUCAGAACGCCGCGGUGAAUACGUUCUCGGGUUU